GUCUAGCCCAAUUUAUGCCUGGGCCCAACAAGCAGAGACCCAAAAAUCAAAUUAAUUAAACCCAAACUAAAUCUACCCAAACAGCCCCAUUACAAGCCCAAAUGCCAAACCCAAAUAAAACAAAGCCCAAAUCCAAACAAGCCCAUUACAGCAAGGCCCAACAAAGGUCAAACUAGGGUUUCAGCUUUGCUGAAACCCUAGCUAAGGCGCCGCACGUCCCUAGGGGCUCCUAAUGUCCACCGCCGCUCUAGCUUCUGCCACCGACGCCACCAGCUCUCUGCCACCAACUACUCCCAUCAAUUACCUGCAAGGACAAUACGCAAAGCAGAGGCAAAAACAGUGCAAAAUAAUAGAAAUAGAUAAAUAUGUAUUGUAAUCGGCUAUAUAAGGACACAAAGAAAAUGUAACGGGGCUUCCUCUCUUUUACUAACACUUUCAGAAAUAACAAAAAAAAAACAAGAUUUGAAGGUGAUUGCUGACUUUUUAUUUUCGUUUUUGCAUACUUUGAUUUUUUUUCUUUAUUUUUUUUUGCCUUUUAUUUAUAUACAUAUAAUAUAUAUAUAACAACAUAAAGAGAAGAGAGGAGAACUCACCGAGACGGGGUUUCCCUCGCCGAUCUAGUGUUCGUCGGUCGUCGGAGGCGGUGGCCAUGCGACGAACAGAGCAGCGGCGCAACAAGGGGGCCUUAGAGUCCCAAAGGUCGGACCUUUGAGAGGAAAUAGGGGUUUUAGAUUUUUUUUGUUAAAUUUAGGGGAUCUGAAAUGAAUUUUUGGAAACAAAUGGGUUUAAAUACCCCUGACGAAACGGCGCCGUUUU
This 816-nucleotide long non-coding RNA is filed under the name Gossypium barbadense (sea-island cotton). RNAcentral's name for it is "long non-coding RNA (GBAR_LNC023317)". Lineage: Eukaryota; Viridiplantae; Streptophyta; Magnoliopsida; Malvales; Malvaceae. The record is from RNAcentral.